GACGAACCGAGCGAACGUUGUUCGGAAUCACUGGGCUUAAAGGGCGCGUAGGCGGGUGUGUAAGUCUGCGGUGAAAUCCUCCAGCUUAACUGGAGAAGUGCCGUGGAUACUGCGCAUCUUGAGGAGGGUAGGGGCAUCUGGAACGGUCGGUGGAGCGGUGAAAUGCGUUGAUAUCGACCGGAACUCCGGUGGCGAAGGCGAGGUGCUGGACCCUUUCUGACGCUGAGGCGCGAAAGCCAGGGGAGCAAACGGG
Molecule: ribosomal RNA, 253 nt
Filed under: uncultured bacterium
Lineage: Bacteria
Description: partial 16S ribosomal RNA
Rfam family: Bacterial small subunit ribosomal RNA
Source: RNAcentral